GUGUCAGCCGCCGCGGUAAUACGUAGGGUGCGAGCGUUAAUCGGAAUUACUGGGCGUAAAGCGUGCGCAGGCGGUUUGAUAAGACAGGCGUGAAAUCCCCGGGCUCAACCUGGGAAUGGCGCUUGUGACUGUCAGGCUAGAGUGCGUCAGAGGGGGGUAGAAUUCCACGUGUAGCAGUGAAAUGCGUAGAGAUGUGGAGGAAUACCGAUGGCGAAGGCAGCCCCCUGGGACGUGACUGACGCUCAUGCACGAAAGCGUGGGGAGCAAACAGGAUUAGAUACCCUGGUAGUCCACGCCCUAAACGAUGUCAACUAGUUGUUGGGGAUUCAUUUCUUCAGUAACGUAGCUAACGCGUGAAGUUGACCGCCUGGGGAGUACGGCCGCAAGGUUGAA
Molecule: ribosomal RNA, 393 nt
Filed under: uncultured bacterium
Lineage: Bacteria
Description: bacterial SSU rRNA
Rfam family: Bacterial small subunit ribosomal RNA
Source: RNAcentral